AUGGUGCUGGACUCGGGGACCCAGGCCUAUGAGCAGGCACCCCCUUCCCUCUCUGUCAGCCCUCCAACUGUUUCUGGGGUGGGGAAGAUCUCAAAGCAGAAUGGGCCACAACUGUACCCCUCUAUCCAGCCACCAAUAUCAGCCCCUAGCUCCCAGAAACGACUCUCAUUGGCCUCACUGGGUCGUGGUCGGAUUCGGCGCAGUGAGAGUUCCUGCUCCGUCGGAGGGUCCAGCAGAAAGGGACGCCUCCGGCCCGCCUCCUCCCUGCCCCACAUUGCUAAAUGCAAGGUAGAGGAAAGCCGGGCAGCCAGCAAGAGCCCCUGCCUGCUGGUAGCCUUAAGACCCAACAACCUGGAGCAAGAGCGAGCCCGGUUCUUUCAAUCAAGGUACACCUACAACCCGCAGUUUGAGUAUGAGGAGCCAGUUCCAGCUGCCGUGUUGGAAAAGUACAACGAGGCCUCAGACAAGUUCAUCCCCCAGGCGGUGGGGAUCAUUGAAGCAGUCCUGGAGAAGUAUGGGACCUACGAGCAGUUUGAGGCGAUCACGGGAGGCCAGCUGCUGACGAAGUGCCAGAUCUGGUCCAUCGUCCGCAAAUACAUGCAGAAGGAAGGCUGCAUGGUGGGGAGGCCUCCAGUGGUGGUGCAGCUGAGUGAGGACCUGCUGUCCCAAGCAGUGAUGAUGGUGGAGAACAGCCGGCCCACGCUGGCCAUCAACCUGACUGGGGCCCGCCAGUACUGGCUGGAGGGCAUGUUGCGGCAUGAGAUAGGCACCCAUUAUCUUCGAUUUGUCAAUAACACUCGGCAGCCCUGGAACACCUCUGAUGGCCGGCGGCAGUAUGGGCUCCGGCCUGCCAACCCCACUGAGGAGGGGCUGGCCAGCCUGCACAGCGUGCUUUUCCGCAAACAGCCGUUCCUGUGGCGGGCAGCCCUGCUGUACUACACCAUCCAGAGGGCGGCCCUGAUGUCCUUCCGCCAGCUAUUCCAGGACCUCGCCCAGUAUGUGCAGGACGCCUCGGUGCGCUGGGAGUACUGUGUGAGGGCCAAGCGGGGCCAGACAGACACGUCCAAGCCUGGCUGCUUCAGUAAGGACCAGGUGUACUUGGAUGGGAUCCUACGCAUCUUGCGGCAUCGGCAGAAUAUUGAUUUCCAUAUGCUGACUGCUUUGGGCAAGGUGUCCUAUGAGGAUGUGAAUCAGCUCCGGCCUCACGGGAAGCUGGAAAAGGCUCGGAUCCCUCACUUCAUGCAGGACUUGACGCGCUACCACCAGCAGCUGGAACACAUCAUCACCACCAACCGCUUGGAUGAUGCCCAGCUGGACAGCCUGUUGCCAGACUGA
This 1335-nucleotide long non-coding RNA is filed under the name Vombatus ursinus (common wombat). RNAcentral's name for it is "lncRNA (ENSVURG00010021663.1)". The record is from RNAcentral. Lineage: Eukaryota; Metazoa; Chordata; Mammalia; Diprotodontia; Vombatidae.